GCGGAUGUGGCGGAACUGGUAGACGCACCAGAUUUAGGUUCUGGCGCCGCGAGGCGUGGGGGUUCGAGUCCCUUCAUCCGCACCA
RNAcentral lists this transfer RNA (85 nucleotides) under Micavibrio aeruginosavorus. Its description in RNAcentral is "tRNA-Leu". It matches the Rfam family "tRNA". From Rfam's summary of the family: Transfer RNA (tRNA) molecules are approximately 80 nucleotides in length. RNAcentral also lists the same sequence under 7 other names. Lineage: Bacteria; Pseudomonadati; Bdellovibrionota; Bdellovibrionia; Bdellovibrionales; Pseudobdellovibrionaceae. The record is from RNAcentral.